GACGAGGGGUCCUAGCGUUGUUCGGAAUCACUGGGCGUAAAGCGUUCGUAGGCGGCUCUAUAAGUCGGGUGUGAAAGCCCACGGCUCAACCGUGGAAGUGCAUUCGAAACUGCAGAGCUUGAAUAUGGAAGAGGGUAGUAGAAUUCCUGGUGUAGUGGUGAAAUACGUAGAUAUCAGGAGGAAUACCGGUGGCGAAGGCGGCUACCUGGUCCAAUAUUGACGCUGAGGAACGAAAGUGCGGGGAUCAAACAGG
Molecule: ribosomal RNA, 253 nt
Filed under: uncultured bacterium
Lineage: Bacteria
Description: partial 16S ribosomal RNA
Rfam family: Bacterial small subunit ribosomal RNA
Source: RNAcentral